CAGCCGGUGCGCUCAUGCAAGUGUGCGUUUCACUUUCCCGGUCAUAGUGUGUGAUACCGUUUAAAGUGCUCUCGUGGUUUCUCCAUCAUAGCGUCGCGCGCCGGCUCCAACGGUGUUUUGCUGGCGACGGGCGCGGAGGCGCAGCUUUUGGUGUUUUACAUCUGGGCCUUCUGUUAUUACCUCUGGCACGCGUGUGCAUGUCGGACUGCGUACGGUGAGCAGGGCAGAUUCCAUCAUACCCAUUUUCAUCUUGAAAGGGUCCUCAGGCUCCAAAUGAGCUCUACGGCUAAUCGCACUGAGGACGCGGCGAGUAGUGCACUCGAUGGCGAUGAUGCCACUGCUGCUUUGCUCAGCUCCCCAGCGGUAACCACUGCCACCGCAGAGGUGGCGCAACUGAGGCAGGAACUUCACCAAUGCCAAGAAAAGUUUGCGUCCUGGAAGGCAAAGGCGAAGACGGGUGUGGAGCAAAUGCGUGCUCAAAUCGUCGAUCUCACGUGCAAGCUGGACGAAUCGAACAAGCAGCGCGCGCUCCUGGAGGCGUCCCUUGGCAGGGGAACAGCGCUCCCGGCGCUGUACGUCGCUCAAAGUCAGGAGUUCAUGUACGCUCACGCUAUUGCUGCCGCGUGCUUGCUGGUCGAUACCGUCUUGCUUUCCCACAGCGGUGGCGGGCCAGGGCAAUACAAGGACACAGCAGCGACGAGCCCAGCGAGGAGUCCGACUCUGCAGAGCACAACCACCGAAAGCCUGCAAAAGACAGUGAAGGAUCAGUCGGACCGGCUAAAGGAGGCGCACCACGCACUGAAGCGACUGAGCAAUGAGCUGCAGCAGCGUACCGCAGCCUUGCACCAGCAGGAUGAGAAUCUCGCCGAUCUGAGGCGCCGCCUCGCCGAGUUGGAGGCAUGCAACACAUCGCUCAAGCAGCAGCUUAUGAGCGUGCCGAACGCUCAAGAGUGGAAGCAUGCGCAGGAGGAGCUGGACCAGCAACUCGCGCGGACGCGGCUGGAGUAUGAGAGCCGCGAAAGUCAGCUCGUUCUGCAGCAUAGCACCGAGGUGCAGGCUCUGAAGGCAGUACAUGAGCGGGAAGUGCAAGAGAUGCAACGAGAGCAGCGCGAUGCCGUUGCACAGGCGGUCCAAGAUGCUCUGGCUAACCGCUCACCGACACUCGUGCGUGGCGGCGCCCACCCCGGCAAGACCGACGACGACGACGCCUACCUGGACCUGCUGAACGAUUACAAAGCGAUGGAGAUGCAGUGCGCCGCCGCCACGCAGGAGCGAGACACCAUGGCGGCUGAACAGCAGAUGCUGUUGCGCGAGCUUCAGGAGCUUCUGCAGAGCGCACGAGGGCCGCUUCCAGCCUCCGCCGCAAACGGUACCUCUACCACCGCCGUAACGGCCGCAGACGGGACCCAAGCCACUGCUGGGUGGGACUCGUUUGCCGACACCACCAAUCUCAAAGAGGCUGUGCGCCGGAUCCACGAACAGCGGCUCACAUUCGCCAAGCUUCAAGAGGAACUAAUGCACUCUCGCCGUGAAGUGAUGCAGCUGCGGCGCUGCAAAGCUGGACCGCCAGAGGACGGCCUCAGCGCGCAGCAGCUGCAGUACGUGCGCUCCGUCGUGGUGCAACUCCUCUGCUCGCUGAGCGACAUCCGCGUGGCGCGGCACCUGCUACCCGUGCUGAGCAUGCUACUAAAGUUCACAGAUGACGACCUGCAGGCGAUCACCAAGGCUAUGCUGCAAUGAACAAGCACCCGCGAGGUGGCGGGCAGCCUCUAAUCAGUCAUGCUGGACUACAGCGAAGCGACGCAGCUGAGCAUCGUCCGCUGCCUCUGCACGCCAAGGUUGCUCGUCUGCACGUACUCCCUCUCUCACAGCGAUCGAGUGUGAGCGCAAGAUCGCCUUGAGGGUAGGGCCGCGUUCGUCUCCGUAGCGACAUCGUUUGCCUCCACGUUUCGCUGAUGUGCGGGGAUGCGUGGAUGCAUCUCUUGUGCGGUACGGCACAUGUGUACAUGUGCAUGUAUCGUAUGUGCGGUUGUGCUUUCUUGUUGUUGUUUCGUUCCUUGUUUGGCACGCGUCCGCUUCCUCACU
Molecule: unclassified non-coding RNA, 2085 nt
Filed under: Leishmania donovani
Lineage: Eukaryota; Euglenozoa; Kinetoplastea; Trypanosomatida; Trypanosomatidae
Description: gene:LdHU3.34.6220(CDS-product:GRIP_domain_contai ning_protein_putative)
Source: RNAcentral